GUCUUCGGCCAUACCACCUUGAAUUCACACAACAUCAUCUGAUCUUGGAAGCCAGGAUGGGCCUGGUUAGUACUUGGAUGGGAGAAAAUAAAAUAACGAUUGACU
This 105-nucleotide ribosomal RNA is filed under the name Carlito syrichta (Philippine tarsier). The record is from RNAcentral. Lineage: Eukaryota; Metazoa; Chordata; Mammalia; Primates; Tarsiidae.